CUGAUGUUAGCGGCGGACGGGUGAGUAACACGUGGAUAACCUACCUAUAAGACUGGGAUAACUUCGGGAAACCGGAGCUAAUACCGGAUAAUAUUUUGAACCGCAUGGUUCAAAAGUGAAAGACGGUCUUACUGUCACUUAUAGAUGGAUCCGCGCUGCAUUAGCUAGUUGGUAAGGUAACGGCUUACCAAGGCAACGAUGCAUAGCCGACCUGAGAGGGUGAUCGGCCACACUGGAACUGAGACACGGUCCAGACUCCUACGGGAGGCAGCAGUAGGGAAUCUUCCGCAAUGGGCGAAAGCCUGACGGAGCAACGCCGCGUGAGUGAUGAAGGUCUUCGGAUCGUAAAACUCUGUUAUUAGGGAAGAACAUAUGUGUAAGUAACUGUGCACAUCUUGACGGUACCUAAUCAGAAAGCCACGGCUAACUACGUGCCAGCAGCCGCGGUAAUACGUAGGUGGCAAGCGUUAUCCGGAAUUAUUGGGCGUAAAGCGCGCGUAGGCGGUUUUUUAAGUCUGAUGUGAAAGCCCACGGCUCAACCGUGGAGGGUCAUUGGAAACUGGAAAACUUGAGUGCAGAAGAGGAAAGUGGAAUUCCAUGUGUAGCGGUGAAAUGCGCAGAGAUAUGGAGGAACACCAGUGGCGAAGGCGACUUUCUGGUCUGUAACUGACGCUGAUGUGCGAAAGCGUGGGGAUCAAACAGGAUUAGAUACCCUGGUAAUCCACGCCGUAAACGAUGAGUGCUAAGUGUUAGGGGGUUUCCGCCCCUUAGUGCUGCAGCUAACGCAUUAAGCACUCCGCCUGGGGAGUACGACCGCA
Molecule: ribosomal RNA, 818 nt
Filed under: uncultured Staphylococcus sp.
Lineage: Bacteria; Bacillati; Bacillota; Bacilli; Caryophanales; Staphylococcaceae
Description: bacterial SSU rRNA
Rfam family: Bacterial small subunit ribosomal RNA
Source: RNAcentral